GAUGAACGCUGGCGGCGUGCCUAAUACAUGCAAGUCGAGCGAACAGAUGAGGAGCUUGCUCCUCUGACGUUAGCGGCGGACGGGUGAGUAACACGUGGAUAACCUACCUAUAAGACUGGGAUAACUUCGGGAAACCGGAGCUAAUACCGGAUAAUAUAUUGAACCGCAUGGUUCAAUAGUGAAAGACGGUUUUGCUGUCACUUAUAGAUGGAUCCGCGCUGCAUUAGCUAGUUGGUAAGGUAACGGCUUACCAAGGCAACGAGGCGUAGCCGACCUGAGAGGACGAUCGGCAGCACGGGAACGGGGACACGGUCCAGACUCGGACGGGAGGCAGGAGUAGGGAAUCUUCCGCAGGGGGCGAAAGCGUGACGGAGAAACUCCGCGUGAGUGAUGAAGGGCUUCGGAGCGUAAAUCUCUGUUAUUAGGGAAUAACAAAUGUGUAAGUAACGAUGUGAGUAUUGACGGUACCGAAGCAGAAAGUCACGGCUAACUACGU
This 496-nucleotide ribosomal RNA is filed under the name uncultured bacterium. RNAcentral's name for it is "partial 16S ribosomal RNA". It matches the Rfam family "Bacterial small subunit ribosomal RNA", at positions 28 to 506 of the family's 1533-position model. The record is from RNAcentral.